This 482-nucleotide ribosomal RNA is filed under the name uncultured bacterium. RNAcentral's name for it is "bacterial SSU rRNA". It matches the Rfam family "Bacterial small subunit ribosomal RNA", at positions 28 to 502 of the family's 1533-position model. The record is from RNAcentral.
GAUGAACGCUAGCUACAGGCUUAACACAUGCAAGUCGAGGGGCAGCAUGAACUUAGCUUGCUAAGUUUGAUGGCGACCGGCGCACGGGUGAGUAACACGUAUCCAACCUUCCGUUUACUCAGGGAUAGCCUUUCGAAAGAAAGAUUAAUACCUGAUAGUAUGGUGAGAUUGCAUGAUAACACCAUUAAAGAUUUAUUGGUAAACGAUGGGGAUGCGUUCCAUUAGGUAGUAGGCGGGUAACGGCCCACCUAGCCUGCGAUGGAUAGGGGUUCUGAGAGGAAGGUCCCCACAUUGGAACUGAGACACGGUCCAAACUCCUACGGGAGGCAGCAGUGAGGAAUAUUGGUCAAUGGGCGAGAGCCUGAACCAGCCAAGUAGCGUGAAGGAUGAAGGUCCUACGGAUUGUAAACUUCUUUAUACGGGAAUAAAGUUUCCUACGUGUAGGAUUUUGUAUGUACCGUAUGAAUAAGCAUCGGCUAACU